Molecule: small RNA, 129 nt
Filed under: Clostridium botulinum
Lineage: Bacteria; Bacillati; Bacillota; Clostridia; Eubacteriales; Clostridiaceae
Description: c-di-AMP sequence
Rfam family: c-di-AMP riboswitch aptamer (ydaO/yuaA leader)
About the family: This family represents a conserved RNA structure found upstream of the ydaO and yuaA genes in Bacillus subtilis and related genes in other bacteria.
Source: RNAcentral
ACCCAUACUAUGCCGAAUCUCUAUUAGGAGUACGGGGGAACUAUUUUGGGGUGAAACUUAUUCUUCACUAAGUGGGGUUCCUCAACCCUAACCCGUCAACUAACCUCGGAGGCAAAAUGAGGAGGAGUU